UACGUAGGGUGCAAGCGUUAAUCGGAAUUACUGGGCGUAAAGCGUGCGCAGGCGGUUUUGUAAGUCAGAUGUGAAAUCCCCGGGCUUAACCUGGGAAUGGCAUUUGGGACUGCAAGGCUGGAGUUUGGCAGAGGAGACUGGAAUUCCUGGUGUAGCAGUGAAAUGCGCAGAUAUCAGGAGGAACACCGGUGGCGAAGGCGGUUCUCUGGGCAUGAUCUGACGCUGAGGAGCGAAAGUGUGGGGAGCGAACAGG
This 253-nucleotide ribosomal RNA is filed under the name uncultured bacterium. RNAcentral describes it as "partial 16S ribosomal RNA". It matches the Rfam family "Bacterial small subunit ribosomal RNA", at positions 524 to 776 of the family's 1533-position model. The record is from RNAcentral.